Molecule: ribosomal RNA, 872 nt
Filed under: Rhodococcus sp. EH831
Lineage: Bacteria; Bacillati; Actinomycetota; Actinomycetes; Mycobacteriales; Nocardiaceae
Description: partial 16S ribosomal RNA
Rfam family: Bacterial small subunit ribosomal RNA
Source: RNAcentral
CGGNNCUANCAUGCAAGUCGNACCAUGANNCCCAUAUUGCUGGGUGGAUUAGUGGCGAACGGGUGAGUAACACGUGGGUGAUCUGCCCUGCACUUCGGGAUAAGCCUGGGAAACUGGGUCUAAUACCGGAUAGGACCUCGGGAUGCAUGUUCCGGGGUGGAAAGGUUUUCCGGUGCAGGAUGGGCCCGCGGCCUAUCAGCUUGUUGGUGGGGUAACGGCCCACCAAGGCGACGACGGGUAGCCGGCCUGAGAGGGCGACCGGCCACACUGGGACUGAGACACGGCCCAGACUCCUACGGGAGGCAGCAGUGGGGAAUAUUGCACAAUGGGCGCAAGCCUGAUGCAGCGACNCCGCGUGAGGGAUGACGGCCUUCGGGUUGUAAACCUCUUUCAGUACCGACNAAGCGCGAGUGACGGUAGGUACAGAAGAAGCACCGGCCAACUACGUGCCAGCAGCCNCGGUAAUACGUAGGGUGCGAGCGUUGUCCNGAAUUACUGGGCGUAAAGAGCUCGUAGGCGGUUUGUCGCGUCGUCUGUGAAAACCCGCAGCUCAACUGCGGGCUUGCANGCNAUACGGGCAGACUUGAGUACUGCAGGGGAGACUGGAAUUCCUGGUGUAGCGGUGAAAUGCNCANAUAUCANGAGGAACACCNGUGGCNAANGCGGGUCUCUGGGCAGUAACUGACGCUGANGAGCGAAAGCGUGGGUAGCGAACAGGAUUAGAUACCCUGGUAGUCCACGCCGUAAACGGUGGGCGCUAGGUGUGGGUUUNCUUCCACGGGAUCCGUGCCGUANCUAACGCAUUAAGCGCCCCCCCUGGGGGAGUACNGCCGCCAGGCUAAAACUCAANGGAAUUGACNGGGGCCCNCNCA